UACGUAGGGGGCAAGCGUUAUCCGGAUUUACUGGGUGUAAAGGGAGCGUAGACGGCUGUGCAAGCCAGAUGUGAAAGCCCGGGGCUCAACCCCGGGACUGCAUUCGGAACUGCGUGGCUUGAGUGUCGGAGAGGCAGGCGGAAUUCCUAGUGUAGCGGUGAAAUGCGUAGAUAUUAGGAGGAACACCAGUGGCGAAGGCGGCCUGCUGGACGAUGACUGACGUUGAGGCUCGAAAGCGUGGGGAGCAAACAGG
This 253-nucleotide ribosomal RNA is filed under the name uncultured bacterium. RNAcentral describes it as "partial 16S ribosomal RNA". It matches the Rfam family "Bacterial small subunit ribosomal RNA", at positions 524 to 776 of the family's 1533-position model. The record is from RNAcentral.